This 478-nucleotide ribosomal RNA is filed under the name uncultured bacterium. RNAcentral describes it as "partial 16S ribosomal RNA". It matches the Rfam family "Bacterial small subunit ribosomal RNA", at positions 28 to 507 of the family's 1533-position model. The record is from RNAcentral.
GAUGAACGCUGGCGGCGUGCUUAACACAUGCAAGUCGAACGAGAAGUGAAGACGGAAACCUUCGGGCGGAAGGCUUUAUUUCGAGUGGCGGACGGGUGAGUAACGCGUGGGUAACCUGCCUCAUACAGGGGGAUAACAGUUUGAAACGACUGUUAAUACCGCAUAAGACCACAGCACCGCAUGGUGCGGGGGUAAAAACUCCGGUGGUAUGAGAUGGACCCGCGUUCGAUUAGCCAGUUGUCGGGGUAACGGCCCACCAAAGCGACGAUCGAUAGCCGAUCUGAGAGGAUGACCGGCCACAUUGGGACUGAGACACGGCCCAAACUCCUACGGGAGGCAGCAGUGGGGAAUAUUGCACAAUGGGGGAAACCCUGAUGCAGCGACGCCGCGUGAGUGAAGAAGUAUUUCGGUAUGUAAAGCUCUAUCAGCAGGGAAGAAAAUGACGGUACCUGAGUAAGAAGCCCCGGCUAACUACGUG